AAUAACCGACCCGCAUAGGAUCAAACCCACCACCGAUUAAAGACUUCCAAAUAACCUUCCAGGAUUUGUCCAGCACUUCUCCAUGACAAAAGAACUUCUGUAUAACCUCUUCAGGACUUCUCCUACGAUAUACUAGGACUUAUCUAGGACACAACCUAACCCAUCUUAAAACAACCUUAUCUAACCUAAACAACUAAACUUUACCUAACCUAACCUCAGAGUGGCGGAUCGUGAGUAUGAGCAGCGGUAGUGCCGCGCAAGGGGGAAAAAUUAGAAGUUUUUCAACACAUAACGAUAUAAAUAAAUGAAAAUUAAAUUUACAUCAGGAGAAAACCCAUACAUGCUCGACAAUAUUUUAACCAUUUGUAAGUUCAGAAGAGAGGGCCAUGAUUUUUUACACUUCCUUUGCUCAUUAUCAGAAUAAAAUUAGUCAGUGCACAGAAUUAUUGAACACUCAUUAACAAUAACCACUAAAGUUUGUGAUACAGAAACCAGUCUAAAACACGUGGUACCGGGCAAGGGUGCAGCUCUUAUCCACGGACCACCACUGGUCUCUAGUACACUUCUGUCUUGCAAGAUUUACCAGAGCAUCUGAAUGAAUAAAGACUGUGAUGAUGCACGGUACUGUUUUGGGCUGAGAAGAUAAUACAAAGAGCCCACAGCUGAAAUUGUCAUACCAGCAGAGGACAUGGAAAAUACUCAACACCCACGCAUGACACAAAACAGAAGACUCCAUCGGCUCUGUUUUCACCUGCACCAUGGCGUACGCUGAAGGUACGCUGACUGCAGGAGGAAGGUGACUGUGGUUACCCGAGAUGCUUUUACUACUCUCAGGUGCUGCUUGCAGCGCCAGCAUUAAGUGUGGUUGAAUCUGUCUCCGCAAGGCUGCCAACAUAUCCACUGGAUCUUCAUUACUGCUGCCACUGUUACCUGAUUCUACAACAGUUACACACAGAAAUAAAAUCAAUCAUCACACACAACAAAGAAACAGAUGAUGGUACCAUAUUUAAAAUUUAUUGACUAGCUGAAUGACCAUUAGUUUUUCAAAAAAGGCUCUGCUCCAAAGAUUGUUUUUUAAUUAUUAAAAAAUUUAUUCUGUUCACAAAACAACCAAACAACAUGUGCCUAAGUUCACAUUCAGACAACAGUGGGAUCACGGUAAUAAAACACGAACACUGCAAACCUUACAAGACCGACGGCUCUUAAACACUGAGCAAAUCUGUGCAACAACUUUCUUUAUCAGAACUCCGGCUUACAAAAUUUGUUUCAGAACAGAUAUCCCUUUGAAAUUUGUAAUUCAUUGGGAAAUCAUUUUUUGAAUUGAUAUUCAUGUUUAAAUCUACCACUACAUAAAAGUGAUCACAGAACGCCAGAUUUCCACAGAACAUUAUUUGGGAAUCGCUGAACUUCAUCAAACAUGAAUAUUUUAACCUAUAUGCCUUUUCAAGAUAUUUUACACAACAUCCUGCCUGUUGUUAUGUCAAAUUAUGUGAAAAACACAUCCUGACAUAAAACAUAUAUUGCGUAAAUAAA
Molecule: non-coding RNA, 1533 nt
Organism: Zootermopsis nevadensis
Lineage: Eukaryota; Metazoa; Arthropoda; Insecta; Blattodea; Termopsidae
Source: RefSeq, a predicted model, not a curated record